RNA transcript from Neopelma chrysocephalum (saffron-crested tyrant-manakin), 915 nucleotides. It is a transcript of the gene named DNA-directed RNA polymerase II subunit RPB3 pseudogene, with no coding region annotated. The transcript has a single exon. Lineage: Eukaryota; Metazoa; Chordata; Aves; Passeriformes; Pipridae. The record is from RefSeq and is a predicted model, not a curated record.
GGGAUCGGGGCUGGGCCGGGGCGGCCAUGCCGUAUGCCAACCAGCCCACCGUGCACAUCACCGAGCUGACGGAUGAGAACGUCAAGUUCAUCAUUGAGAACACGGACCUGGCGGUGGCAAAUUCCAUUCGAAGAGUGUUCAUCGCUGAAGUCCCCACCAUAGCCAUCGACUGGGUCCAGAUAGAUGCCAACUCCUCCGUGCUCCACAAUGAGUUCAUUGCACACAGGCUGGGCCUCAUCCCUCUCACCAGCGAUGACAUUGUGGAUAAGAUGCAAUAUUCCAGAGACUGUACAUGUGACGAGUUCUGCCCCGAGUGCUCCGUGGAGUUCACCCUGGAUGUUCGCUGCAACGAGGACCAGACCCGUCACGUCAUGUCCCGUGACCUCAUCUCCAACAAUCCCCGGGUCAUUCCGGUGACGUCUUGGAGCAGAGACAAUGACCCCAAUGACUACGUGGAGCAGGAUGACAUCCUCAUUGUGAAGCUGCGGAAGGGGCAGGAGCUCCGGCUGAGAGCCUACGCCAAGAAGGGCUUUGGGAAGGAGCACGCCAAGUGGAACCCCACGGCGGGCGUGGCCUUCGAGUACGACCCAGACAACGCGCUGAGGCACACCGUGUACCCCAAACCAGAGGAGUGGCCCAAGAGUGGAGAUCGACGCCGAGGAUGCUCAGGCUCCCUAUGACCCCAACGGGAAGCCAGAGAGGUUCUACUACAACGUGGAGUCCUGCGGUUCUCUGCGUCCGGAGACCAUCGUUCUGUCCGCAUUGUCCGGCCUGAAGAAGAAACUGAGCGACCUCCAGACCCAGCUGAGCCACGAGAUUCAGAGUGACGUCCUCACUAUUAACUGAGGUGGCUCCUUGCAAGAGAGUGCUGAGGUGUGAGUGAUGGAGCAGGUCCUUGCCUCUGCCUGGCCAUGA